GAGGGUAUAGCUCAGGGGUAGAACAUAUGCUUAGGAUGCACAAGGUCCUGGGUUCAAUCCCCCGUACCUCCA
Molecule: transfer RNA, 72 nt
Filed under: Camelus bactrianus (Bactrian camel)
Lineage: Eukaryota; Metazoa; Chordata; Mammalia; Artiodactyla; Camelidae
Also listed under: 3 other names
Rfam family: tRNA
About the family: Transfer RNA (tRNA) molecules are approximately 80 nucleotides in length. Their secondary structure includes four short double-helical elements and three loops (D, anti-codon, and T loops).
Source: Rfam by way of RNAcentral